GUUAAUUGUUAAAAUCGCGAUUAGGAAAUUUUGCUUGUAUGUGCUAACGGUAUUAUUUAUCCUAAUCCAUAUGUGUAGAUAUUGACUUUAACAGCUUCUGACUAAAAGACGAUUACAAAUGAUGAAGUGUGCUGCUCUGAUCUUGCUUUGCUGUGUUAUGUUUCUCAGCAUUGAUCCAACAAGUGCUUUAUAUAAAAGUAGAUUUAUCAGUCCAAAACAAAUGGACGGUCACAAAUUCGACGAUCAGCUGUUGCGGAGAAUUGCAAGAGAGAAUUUGAACCUGCUGCACAAAGAAUUUUAGGGUGUGGCUAAAAUGCAUGUGAACACACUUCCUAUUUAACUGUUGUGUUCGAGAAAUAAAAGUAAUAAAACGUA
This is a non-coding RNA of Ciona intestinalis (vase tunicate), 375 nucleotides long. The record is from RefSeq and is a predicted model, not a curated record. Lineage: Eukaryota; Metazoa; Chordata; Ascidiacea; Phlebobranchia; Cionidae.